RNAcentral lists this ribosomal RNA (497 nucleotides) under uncultured bacterium. RNAcentral's name for it is "partial 16S ribosomal RNA". It matches the Rfam family "Bacterial small subunit ribosomal RNA", at positions 28 to 507 of the family's 1533-position model. The record is from RNAcentral.
GAUGAACGCUGGCGGCGUGCCUAAUACAUGCAAGUCGAGCGAACAGACGAGGAGCUUGCUUCUCUGACGUUAGCGGCGGACGGGUGAGUAACACGUGGAUAACCUACCUAUAAGACUGGGAUAACUUCGGGAAACCGGAGCUAAUACCGGAUAAUAUUUUGAACCGCAUGGUUCAAUAGUGAAAGACGGUCUUGCUGUCACUUAUAGAUGGAUCCGCGCUGCAUUGGCUAGUUGGUAAGGUAACGGCUUACCAAGGCAACGAUGCAUAGCCGACCUGAGAGGGUGAUCGGCCACACUGGAACUGAGACACGGUCCAGACUCCUACGGGAGGCAGCAGUAGGGAAUCUUCCGCAAUGGGCGAAAGCCUGACGGAGCAACGCCGCGUGAGUGAUGAAGGUCUUCGGAUCGUAAAACUCUGUUAUUAGGGAAGAACAUAUGUGUAAGUAACUGUGCACAUCUUGACGGUACCUAAUCAGAAAGCCACGGCUAACUACGUG